GCCUAGGUGGCUCAGUCGGUAAAGCAUCUGACUUUGGCUCAGGUCAUGAUCUCAUGGUUCAUGGGUUCAAGCCCUGUGUUGGGCU
RNAcentral lists this transfer RNA (85 nucleotides) under Felis catus (domestic cat). It matches the Rfam family "tRNA". From Rfam's summary of the family: Transfer RNA (tRNA) molecules are approximately 80 nucleotides in length. The record is from Rfam by way of RNAcentral. Lineage: Eukaryota; Metazoa; Chordata; Mammalia; Carnivora; Felidae.